GUGUCAAGCAGCUGAUAAUGAGUUUAGAAAUAAAGCUUGACUCACUUACUGCUUAGCACCAUAAAGAGAAAGAGAAAUAGAGACUAUGCCUUUAAAAUGUAGAAGAAACAUGGAGAAUCAGAUACAAGACAAUGAAGGUCGAAAAUGAUGCAGCUGCUGCAGAAGAUAUGCAAAAGAAUUUGCAAGAUCUUAAACAGAGAUGUAGAAUAUUGAAGACAUUGAUUGAAGAAGAACCAUAAAAAUAUCAUACUCACUUCAUCAAUAUAUCAAGAAAGGGAUAGAAGCUGACGGAAAUCACGGAAUUGAGGAACCUUACAAGAAGGUUCAUGCUGCUAUUCGUGCAGAAUGAAAAAGUCUGGGAAGCAGCCACAAAGGAACA
Long non-coding RNA from Vicia villosa (hairy vetch), 379 nucleotides. RefSeq lists it as uncharacterized. The record is from RefSeq and is a predicted model, not a curated record. The transcript is spliced from 3 exons. Lineage: Eukaryota; Viridiplantae; Streptophyta; Magnoliopsida; Fabales; Fabaceae.